RNAcentral lists this ribosomal RNA (544 nucleotides) under uncultured bacterium. RNAcentral's name for it is "bacterial SSU rRNA". It matches the Rfam family "Bacterial small subunit ribosomal RNA", at positions 777 to 1318 of the family's 1533-position model. The record is from RNAcentral.
AAUAGAUACCCAGGUAGUCCACGCCGUAAACGAUGAGUGCUAAGUGUUAGGGGGUUUCCGCCCCUUAGUGCUGCAGCUAACGCAUUAAGCACUCCGCCUGGGGAGUACGGUCGCAAGACUGAAACUCAAAGGAAUUGACGGGGGCCCGCACAAGCGGUGGAGCAUGUGGUUUAAUUCGAAGCAACGCGAAGAACCUUACCAGGUCUUGACAUCCCACUGACCACUAUGGAGACAUAGUUUUCCCUUCGGGGACAGUGGUGACAGGUGGUGCAUGGUUGUCGUCAGCUCGUGUCGUGAGAUGUUGGGUUAAGUCCCGCAACGAGCGCAACCCUUGAUCUUAGUUGCCAUCAUUUAGUUGGGCACUCUAAGGUGACUGCCGGUGACAAACCGGAGGAAGGUGGGGAUGACGUCAAAUCAUCAUGCCCCUUAUGACCUGGGCUACACACGUGCUACAAUGGACGGUACAAACGGUUGCCAACCCGCGAGGGGGAGCUAAUCCGAUAAAACUCGUUCUCAGUUCGGAUUGUAGGCUGCAACUCGCCUA